Apis dorsata (giant honeybee) is the source of this 186-nucleotide long non-coding RNA. RefSeq lists it as uncharacterized. The record is from RefSeq and is a predicted model, not a curated record. The transcript has 2 exons. Lineage: Eukaryota; Metazoa; Arthropoda; Insecta; Hymenoptera; Apidae.
AGAUUCAAAUCUCAAAAAAUAAUUAAUGAUAACUUCUUUUUCGCAUUAUUUAACUGUUUCUUCACAAGUGAACGAAUUUGGAAUAUUGUUCCUGUACGAGUUUAAACUGGGCCAUGAGUGCAGCCGAAGCGCAUCGAAAUAUUAGGUUAGCUUUCGAAGAAAAUUCCAUCGAUGAGAGAAUCUUUC